AAGGAGUAUUUAUUAUUUUUGUUUUGUUUCUGGGUGAAUAGGUAGCCGGUUCAACCAUCGGUUGGUGGUGGUUGUUGGGUACUGUUUUUGUUCAGGUCGCUUUUUGUUGAAGUGUGGAUGUUGUGUGUUGGGGUUGGCACAGUGUUGGGGUUGGCAGAGUUGUUGUUUGGUUUGUCAUGUUGUUGGGUGUCUGGGACAAUCUGUUGUUCCUGAUUGUGGAUGCUUUCGAUGGGCUGACGGAGUGUUUCGUUGGUGUGUUGUGGGUGUUCAGUGUUGUUUGAGAACUGUAUAGUGGACGCGAGUAUCUUCUUUUUGUGAUUUUUUGUUUGAAAUCAUUUUUGUUCACGCGCUGAUUACAUGAAUGUUUUGUUUGUGUGGUUGGUGUGUGGGUGUCUUAGUAUUGUGUGUUGUCUG
Molecule: unclassified non-coding RNA, 414 nt
Filed under: Corynebacterium kutscheri
Lineage: Bacteria; Bacillati; Actinomycetota; Actinomycetes; Mycobacteriales; Corynebacteriaceae
Also listed under: 1 other name
Description: 16S-23S ribosomal RNA intergenic spacer region
Source: RNAcentral